UACGAAGGGGGCAAGCGUUGUUCGGAAUCAUUGGGCGUAAAGGGCGCGUAGGCGGGUCUGUAAGUCGAUUGUGAAAUCCCUGGGCUUAACCCGGGAAUUGCAGUCGAAACUGCAGAUCUUGAAUGCUCGAGAGGAUGGUGGAAUUCCUGGAGUAGUAGUGAAAUACGUAGAUAUCAGGAGGAACACCGGAGGCGAAGGCGGCCAUCUGGCGAGACAUUGACGCUGAUGCGCGAAAGCACGGGGAGCAAACAGG
This 253-nucleotide ribosomal RNA is filed under the name uncultured bacterium. RNAcentral's name for it is "partial 16S ribosomal RNA". It matches the Rfam family "Bacterial small subunit ribosomal RNA", at positions 524 to 776 of the family's 1533-position model. The record is from RNAcentral.